This 336-nucleotide long non-coding RNA is filed under the name Androctonus crassicauda. Lineage: Eukaryota; Metazoa; Arthropoda; Arachnida; Scorpiones; Buthidae. The record is from RNAcentral.
UACUACGACGUGUCAAGCAAAAGCCAAAGACUAUACCGGAAGUCGUAUAUCCGGCAGCUCGACGGGAAAUGUCUUCGGAUCCGAAAUCGACGGAAAGCCAAAGACCAUACCGGAAGUCGUAUAUGCUCGACCAGAAAUGUCGUCGGAUCCGAAGUCGACGGAAAGGUAAUUUUUCUUAUUUUCUUAUGUUUAUUGUGGCCGCGAUGUUAGCCGACAGCGAUAGCUCCUUCCGUAAUUGUUAUAUUUACGCUCGUCCAAAGACUAUACCGGAAGUCGUAUAUCCGGCAGCUCGACGGGAAAUGUCUUCGGAUCCGAAAUCGACGGAAAGCCAAAGAC